Molecule: ribosomal RNA, 253 nt
Filed under: uncultured prokaryote
Description: partial 16S ribosomal RNA
Rfam family: Bacterial small subunit ribosomal RNA
Source: RNAcentral
UACGUAGGUGGCAAGCGUUGUCCGGAUUUAUUGGGUUUAAAGGGUGCGUAGGCGGUUUUCUAAGUCAGCAGUGAAAUACGGCAGCUCAACUGUCGAGGUGCUGUUGAUACUGGGGAACUUGAGUACAGACGAGGUAGGCGGAAUUGACGGUGUAGCGGUGAAAUGCUUAGAUAUCGUCAAGAACACCGAUAGCGAAGGCAGCUUACUAGGCUGUAACUGACGCUGAGGCACGAAAGUGUGGGGAUCAAACAGG